CGGGAUGUAGCGCAGCCCGGUUAGCGCGCCACGUUCGGGACGUGGAGGUCGUGAGUUCGAAUCUCACCAUCCCGA
Molecule: transfer RNA, 75 nt
Filed under: Bacteroidota bacterium
Lineage: Bacteria; Pseudomonadati; Bacteroidota
Also listed under: 3 other names
Description: Bacteroidetes bacterium tRNA-Pro
Rfam family: tRNA
About the family: Transfer RNA (tRNA) molecules are approximately 80 nucleotides in length. Their secondary structure includes four short double-helical elements and three loops (D, anti-codon, and T loops).
Source: RNAcentral